GUUUGAUCUCAGACUGCUGUGCUAGCAAUCAGCGAGACUCCGUGGGCGUAGGACCCUCCUAGCCAGAUACAAAAAGAAAAAUUACUGUCAUGUGAUGUGUGAUCCAUGAUACCGUCAUAGUUUUGUUAUGAGAAAACUGAGGCUCUGAGAGAUGACAUCAUAAAGCCUUGUAAGACCCAGUUGCUGUGCUCCACCUUCAUACCUUCGCCUAUGUUAGAACUUCUGAGAAGCUGAAGCAUCACAUAUAAAAAGCCAAGACCAUCCUCAAGGAGUUUAAUGAAUGUGGCAUCACAAGAAAAAUAUGCAUCAACAUUGAAAAAUAUGGUGCCUCCCUCUGGAACAGAGCGCAGUUAUAUUUCCUGCAUAGUAUGGAAAAGAAAUAAAAUUCCAUUAACAGAGCUUGAGGAAGUGGACUUGACUAAGCUGGAGUAAGGAGUGCAGAGAGUGAGGAGACAGGAUGCGAAACAAGA
RNAcentral lists this long non-coding RNA (470 nucleotides) under Homo sapiens (human). RNAcentral's name for it is "HSALNT0137907". The record is from RNAcentral. Lineage: Eukaryota; Metazoa; Chordata; Mammalia; Primates; Hominidae.